ACCUUUGUCGUCGCAAAAGGUUUUACUUUUUAGUCGAUUUCGGUCGGGCUAAAAAGCGAUAGGGAAAACCGUGAAAUUCGGUUACAGUACCCGCUGCUGUGAGUUCUUGCCCGUUUGUUGUUAGAAGCAUUCGUAUAGGGCAGUCUCCGAGCCAACGAAGCCACUGUUCGAUGAAUGGGAAGGCGACUCGGGGUAGAGAGGACAAGUCAGAAGACCUGCCUUUUGUGAGUAUAGUUU
RNAcentral lists this non-coding RNA (237 nucleotides) under Bacteroidetes oral taxon 274 str. F0058. The record is from RNAcentral. Lineage: Bacteria; Pseudomonadati; Bacteroidota.